Molecule: ribosomal RNA, 486 nt
Filed under: uncultured bacterium
Lineage: Bacteria
Description: partial 16S ribosomal RNA
Rfam family: Bacterial small subunit ribosomal RNA
Source: RNAcentral
AUUGAACGCUGGCGGCAUGCCUUACACAUGCAAGUCGAACGGCAGCACGGGUGCUUGCACCUGGUGGCGAGUGGCGAACGGGUGAGUAAUACAUCGGAACAUGUCCUGUAGUGGGGGAUAGCCCGGCGAAAGCCGGAUUAAUACCGCAUACGAUCUACGGAUGAAAGCGGGGGACCUUCGGGCCUCGCGCUAUAGGGUUGGCCGAUGGCUGAUUAGCUAGUUGGUGGGGUAAAGGCCUACCAAGGCGACGAUCAGUAGCUGGUCUGAGAGGACGACCAGCCACACUGGGACUGAGCCACGGCCCAGACUCCUACGGGAGGCAGCAGUGGGGAAUGUUGGGCAAUGGGCGAAAGCCUGACCCAGCAAUGCCGCGUGUGUGAAGAAGGCCUUCGGGUUGUAAAGCACUUUUGUCCGGAAAGAAAUCCUUGGCCCUAAUACGGUCGGGGGAUGACGGUACCGGAAGAAUAAGCACCGGCUAACUACGUG